UACGAAGGGGGCUAGCGUUGCUCGGAAUCACUGGGCGUAAAGCGCACGUAGGCGGCUUUCUAAGUCAGGGGUGAAAUCCUGGAGCUCAACUCCAGAACUGCCUUUGAUACUGGGAAGCUCGAGUCCGGAAGAGGUGAGUGGAACUCCGAGUGUAGAGGUGAAAUUCGUAGAUAUUCGGAAGAACACCAGUGGCGAAGGCGGCCGACUGGUCCGGUUCUGACGCUGAGGCGCGAAAGCGUGGGGAGCAAACAGG
RNAcentral lists this ribosomal RNA (253 nucleotides) under uncultured bacterium. Its description in RNAcentral is "partial 16S ribosomal RNA". It matches the Rfam family "Bacterial small subunit ribosomal RNA", at positions 524 to 776 of the family's 1533-position model. The record is from RNAcentral.